Molecule: ribosomal RNA, 433 nt
Filed under: uncultured bacterium
Lineage: Bacteria
Description: partial 16S ribosomal RNA
Rfam family: Bacterial small subunit ribosomal RNA
Source: RNAcentral
AGCGAACGCUGGCGGCAGGCCUAACACAUGCAAGUCGAACGGACCCUUCGGGGUUAGUGGCGGACGGGUGAGUCACCCGUGGGAACGUGCCUUUAGGUUCGGCAUAGCUCCUGGAAACGGGUGGUAAUGCCGAAUGUGCCCUUCUGGGGAAAGAUUUAUCGCCUUUAGAGCGGCCCGCGUCUGAUUAGCUCGUUGGUGAGGUAACGGCUCACCAAGGCGACGAUCAGUAACUGGUCUGAGAGGAUGACCAGCCACACUGGGACUGAGACGCGGCCCAGACUCCUACGGGAGGCAGCAGUGGGGAAUCUUGCGCAAUGGGCGAAAGCCUGACGCAGCCAUGCCGCGUGAAUGAUGAAGGUCUUAGGAUUGUAAAAUUCUUUCACCGGGGACGAUAAUGACGGUACCCGGAGAAGAAGCCCCGGCUAACUUCGUG